UUCGAGCUUUUCCUGGGAGUAUGGCAUGGGUUACUUCAGCGCCGUGGCGCCUGGUACUCGAACAUUGGCUCGAGGCAUUUUCUCUACCCCUUCUUACCCUGAAAAAUCAGGGGCACCCCGCGUCCUUGAACCGAUAACCAUCUUUCGGCUAACCUAGCCUCCUCCAUCCCUCGGGACCAACAAGGGGUAGUACAGGAAUAUUCACCUGUUGUCCAUCGACUACGCCUUUCAGCCUGAUCUUAGGCCCUGACUCACCCUCCGUGGACGAACCUUGUGGAGGCAUAAAAGAAAUCGGUAGCAUAAAAGAAAAUGGCUCGGCUAAGUGGGAUAGCCAAGCCAGAAAAAAAAAUAGAUUUAGAAGAUAUAAAUGGGUUUUUCUCAUUACCAUAUUGUUGAUGCUUUUGGUUUUUCUGGGGGUGUUUGGUUGUUGUGGAAUGGGAAUUCAGUUUCUCUUCAAGUUAUUCCGCACUCUAGCCAAUCUAUCACUGCGUUAGUAACUUUGAGGAAUCAUAGGUGGCUCCUCGCUAUUGUUUAUGCAAACCCUUGCCCUGGGAUUUGAGAAGCUUUGUGGAAGUACUUUGAUGGUCUUAUUGAAGCUUCCAAUCUGCCAUGGCUUGUUCUAGGUGAUUUUAAUGAUAUUGUGAGUGUGGAUGAGAAAUGUGGGGGUAAUUUAGAUCAAGGUGGUAAAAAUUUUGCUGAGUGGAUUGAUCGUAACCAUUUGGUUGACCUGGGUUUCACUGGGGCAAAGUUUACUUGGUGUAAUAAACAGAAUGGUGAAGGAAUUAUUUGGAAGAGGCUUGAUAGGGGCCUUUGUAGUAUUGAUUGGCGUCUUUUGUUCCCUGAGGCUCACCUCCUACAUCUUCCUAGGGUGAAUUCAGAUCACUGUCCUAUUUUGGUGCGCCUUGACUCCAAACAUUAUCCUAAUAGAGCAAAUGUGCCUUUUCGUUUCCAAGCCAUGUGGAUGUCUCAUCCUGAUUUUAAGGAAUUUGUUACGAACCUUUGGAGUUCUGGUGAUGGUCAUGCUGUACACAGAUCAGCUAGGCUCGUGGCUCCGCUUGGCAUUUGGAAUCAGCAGGUUUUUGGGUGUUUAUUUACAAAGAAAAGGCAUCUUUUAGCUAGACUUGCAGGAAUUUAAAAGAAGCUUUGUCAUGAGCAUAAUCCUUUCCUUAGCGAGCUUGAGGUUGAGCUUACUAAAGAUUACAAUUUACUACUGGAUCAAGAAGAGACUUUUUGGCUACAAAAGUCCAGGAAUACCUGGCUUAAAGAAGAGGACAGGAAUACUCGGUUCUUCCAUCUGUCCACAGUUGUUAGACGAAGAAUGAAUAAGUUGGAAUGGUUACAUGAUGAUUUUGGGGAUUGGAUUACUGAGAAACAGAGCAUGAAACAUAUUAUUGUUAAUUAUUUUCAAGGGUUGUUUUGUGCUUAUGAUAUGGUUGGUGACUAUGCUUUGCUUCCUCAGUUGUAUCCUAGCCUUGAAGAGGCUGAUCUUGAAGGUCUUAGUUGUCCGGUUUCUAUUGAAGAGAUUAAGAAUAGUGUGUUUGCUAUUGGUAGAUUAAAGACCCCAGGACCUGAUGGUUUCCCUGCUCUUUUCUACCAAGAUUAUUGGGGGGUUUGCUCUGAUGAUAUCAUUUCCUUUUUACAUGAUUGCUUUAAUACUGCCACCCUUCUUGAUCAUUUAAAUGAGACUCUGAUUGCUUUGGAGCCUAAAGUGGAGAGGCCUAUGUUUAUGAAUCAGCUUAGGCCUAUUAGCCUUUGCAACUCUUUAUAAAGUGGUCUCUAAAAUCCUUGUGGCUAGGCUUAGGCCAUGUAUGACUAAGCUUGUCAGCUCUAGCCAAGUUUGUUUUGUUCUAGGGAGACAAAUUACGGAUAACAUUAUUGUUGCUCAAGAAGUGCUCCACAAAUUUAAAUAUGCCAAGGGUUUUAUAGCUAGGAAAAUUGAUUUAUCCAAAGCUUAUGAUCGUAUGCAAUGGCCUUUUAUUAGGGAGAUUCUCUAGGAAGUGGGCAUUAAAGGAAGCAUUUUGGAGUUGCUUAUGCAGUGUAUCAUUUCUGUGCAGUACAAGGCCAUUCUUAAUGGGGAGCUAAUUGACUCUUUCUCUCCUCAGUGUGGUAUUAGGCAGGGGGACCCUCUCUCCCCUUAUAUAUUUGUUUUGUGUAUGGAAAAACUCUCUCAUCUCAUUCAACAAAAGAUUCAGGAUAGAGCUUGGAAGUCUGUUUAGAUUUGUCAUGGAGGUCCUCAUAUUUCCCAUUUAUUCUUUGUUGAUGAUUUAAUCCUUUUUGGGGAAGCUACUAUUGAUCAAGCUUGUUUGAUGAAAUAGUGUUUGGAUGAUUUCUGUCAGUUGUCUGGUCAGCGAGUUAGCUUUGAAAAGUCUAUGAUAUGUGUUUCCCCAAAUACGUGCUCUGAUUUGGCUAAUUCAAUUGCUAUGAUAAGUGGUUCUCCUCUCACUGCUAGCCUUGGUAAGUACCUUGGUGUCCCACUAGAGUCAGUAAACAAACAUAUCAAGAGGUUAUUGCUAAAGUCCCAAAGAGAUUAGCUUCUUGGAAGAGCCAUACGUUGUCUAUCGCUGGUAGAAUUACUUUGCUUCAAUCUGUUACUGCUGCUAUUCCGAUCUAUACUAUACAAACUGCCAAGUUGCCUAUGUCUGUCUGUGAUAAAUUGAAUCUGCUCAACAGGAAUUUUCUUUGGGGGCAUACCAGUAAUACUUCUAAAAUCCAUCUUGUCAAUUGGGAGCAAGUGUGUAAACCUAAGGUAGUUGGUGGGUUAGGCAUUAAAAGGUCUGCUUGGAUGAACCAAGCUCUUUUGGCUAAGACUGGAUGAAGACAUCUUCAACAUGAGCAAGGUUUGUGGUCUCAGGUCUUCUAUGCUAAGUACUUAAAACACCAAAACAUUUUAACUGUGAAGGACUCUUUUUUCCCUUGUAGCUCUAGUGUCUGGAGGGGUGUUCUUUUUGGUCAUUCUGUCAUUUCCAAAGGUGUUAAGUGGAGAGUUGGUUAUGGGGAUAAUGUGUUAUUUUGGACUGAUAGGUGGUUGAGUUGUGGCCCUUUGUAUCAAUAUUUGCUCAUUGAUCUUUUUGAGGAAAUGCUUCAGCUGAAUGUUGGUGAUUUUUCGGAUGAGGGGGUCUGGGACUUUAACUGCUUAAGGGAAUGUCUUCCUUUUCAUAUUAUUCAGUUAAUUUUAAGUGUUCAUGCUGGUUUUAAUGGCAGUGGGGCUGAUAGAUAUAUUUGGCAGUUCACGCCUAAUGGUUCUUUCUCGGCUAAAUCAGCCUAUAGUUCCUUUUUACCUGCUGAGGCUUUAGUUAAAUGGGACUAGCAGUUUCUUUGGAGGUUACGGCUCCCUCCUAAGGUUAAAACUUUUCUUUGGAUUGUUUGUCAUCGAAAGUUGCUUACUAAUGUGCAAAGGCAGAAGAGAGGCCUCACUCAAGUUCCUACUUGUCCUAGAUGUGAUUAUCCUAUGGAAACUAUUUCUCACUUAUUUAAAGAUUGUCCUUUCUCUUUGGCCAUUUGGAAUUGUCUUCAAAUUGGAAAUAAUCCUAGCCCUGAUAUGGUGGAUUUUAAUGAGUGGCUGUUAAGGAAUCUACAAUAUAAAAGAAAGGUCUAUAAUGGGUUGCCUUGGCCUUUGGUUUUUGCACUUUAUCUGUCGUUUAUCUGGAAAUGGAGAUGUAAAGGAAUUUUUUAUCAAAGGUUUGUUAUGCCUGGUGAACCACAUCAUUUAAUUCUUCAAUAUGCUUUGGAGUGGUUUAAUGCUACCAAACCGCCUUCCCUUUCUUAUGUGUUGUUUGUUGUUCAACUUCAUUGGAUAGCCCCUACUUAUGGAGUUUGUAAGAUUAACACAGAUGGAAGUUGUAACAGUGUUUCUGGGUUUAUUAGUGCUGGUGGUCUUUUAAGAGAUAAUUAUAGUGCUUGGAUUAAGGGUUUCUCUGUGAACCUGGGUGUUGGUUUUGUUCUUGUAGCGUUGUGGGGCAUUUUUUGUGGUCUUCAUUUGGCUCGGGAGUUUGGCUUUAGUGUUGUGGAGAUGGAAAGUGACUCUAGUGUGGAUGUGGCUCUUCUUUCUAGCUCUACUAUUUCCACACACCCCCUGUUUAGCCUUAUUAGGUGUUGCAAGUUAAAGGUGCAAGCUGGUUGGAGAUGUUCUGUUAUGCACAUCUUCAGAGAGCAGAAUGUGGCAGCUCACGUCUUGGCUUCUAAGAGUUCUGAGUUUGGCACUGGGGUGCAGUAUUUUACUGAGGUGCCGACAUUUCUUGCGACUUGUUUGCCUGAGGAUGCUAUUGGGGUGUCCAGGUCCAAUGUUGUUUGUGCUUAUAUUGGGUGUCCAGGUCCCGUGUUGUUUGUGCUUAGUCUGUUUGUUCUGGGCCCUUAGCCCCUCUUGUUGCCAAAAAAAAAAAAGAAGUCAAAAACACAACCCAUCCCCACUUCCAGCAAUAUCUGUGGUGGUGUUGGGUGGGGAUGGUUGAUAUCGUUGCCAUUGUCUCCUCUCAGUCCCACCCCAACUUGACUACCUCCUCCCACGCCCCCACCAACCGAGCGAGUACAACCUAGCACUCUCUCUCUCUCUCUCUCUCUCUCUCUCUCUCUCUCUCUCUCUCACAGAGGAGGCUUUUGCCUCUGUCAAAGGUGACGGUAAAAUCGACAAGGGAGGGCUUUUAGACCCACCCCUUCUCUCCUGUUUGUAGGGGUGGACAUGGUCUAGUUUGGCCCGAUUUGCACCUAAAAAAGAAAUAUAAAUCAAUAUUAUUCAUUUGAUGUGGUAUGGUCUAGCUGUUGACUAAAAUGACUAGGAGAACCGGACCAAUCUGAACUUGCCGGUCUUGGUUCUAUGGAAUAGCAAUUAAUAUCGUAUCCGAUUAUAUUUAGAUUUUUCCGCAUUAAUUUAUAAAAAAUUUAUAAAAGUAUUCGGAUAUUAUUUAUUUAUUUAUUUAGAGGAACUAGUAAAUUUUCCUUAAAUUGUCAAAGGUUACAGGCUUGAGCGAACAAACAUGGCCUCAUAAAAACCUUGCCCAGGAAAAGUAUUUGGAUACGCUUUCAUUGCUGUAUACGGUUUAAUACCGGUCUUGCGUAGGAAUUGACAUAUCUUGCAAUACGAUGCCUUCCAAUUAGGUUAUGAACUCGAGCAAACAAACGUGUUCUUAUUGAUACCGUAUCCACUGCAAUUAAUACCGUAUCAAUUAUUGAGUUUUUUCCACAUCAGUUUAUAAAGUUUAUAGAAGUAUUUGGAUACGCUUUCAUCCUAUUCAAAAGUUGUACAUAAAGAGUAAAUUGUCGUAGACCUCCCCAAAUUAGGACCCCAAUCGAACUUAACUUUAUGAACUAAAAAAUCAGCUAAUUUAACACCCAAAUUAAUUAAAAUUGUCAAUUUAAUACCUACCGUUAGAUUUUAUCACUUUUCAUCUAAAAUUCCUUCGUACGUGGCAUGUGAGACACAUGUGCAAUAUAAUUGGAGAACAAUAUAGUUCUUCUAACCUGUUUUCCUACCACUAUUCAGCUUCCCUAAUAGUUGAGGCCAAAUUAAAAAUAGAGGAGCCCUAAUUUCACAAAUUCCACCAUUACAGACAAUUGUUAUGACAUAUACCCACCCAUAGCAUACAGUUGAGAAGAAGGAGAAGAAGAUGAAGUGGUUAGAAAAUGCAAAGGAACAUGCCUAGAGCAAAUGGUUCAGCCGAGUCCAAGUUCAAAUACCUGGAGCAAGAGGUUCUCUGUGUGUUCUAGAGAUAAGGAGCCUUCAGUCGAAUCUGACAUCAACUAUCCUCAUCAUUUGUUACCAAGUUAAUCGAGCCUAAACGUCUUGGUGCAAAACUUGCCUUUGUGGAGCAUUUGCCUUUUCACAACCAUUGACAGGGGGUAUAUUGACCCAGUUGUAAAGUGAGGAGGUAUUUAAGCCCCUAUUCUAAUUAAGAGUCUCUCUAUUGAUCUACACUUUCUUCCUUUAGACCCGUUUGGUUCAUGAGAAAUCAAUUGCUUUAAAUGUUUGGUAAGUUUAGGCAUAUAAGACAGAAAUAUCAUGCGGUGUUACUGCCAAAUUCACAAGGGAAGUUUUCAAUGAUGAAAAUUGGGAUCAAACAGGUCAACAAUGGUAUAAGAGGGAUCUAAAUCCUAUUGGCAUUGAUGAAAAUUGUGUUGUGUAUUCAUUUAUCUUGGACAAAGGAGAGAACAUGUAGCACAAAAGCAAAGUAGAACACAUCAAUUUAUGUAUAGAGAACAUUAAUCAGUACUUUCUACUUCUUGGAUCAAGGAAAAGGUGCCAAGGACGAUGUAGCACAACCAAGAGCCUUUGUCACGCCAGUAAUUGUGGGCUUGACAUUAGAACACACAGAGGUAAGAGGGCCUUUGUCUCCACCGUAGGUGAGAUCAAUGUCAGUCAACUCCACAUUCUCACACGGUUUGCCAGUGGUACAUAUAAGCUUGACUGCAAGUGGAGUGAAAGAUGAGCCCUUAAUGUUCUUGAAGCUGACAUUGUUGAUCUUAACUUUUGACGGAGGCUUUUGUUCACACUGAGUAUAUGGGCAGUACAAUUGGUCUAUGAGGAUAGGGUUACUGACAUUAACCAUGAUAAUAUCCUCAUAGUGUAUACCCGAGGCAGAGCUAGGCGAAGGAGAAUCUGGAAAUGUUUUGAUUGUCACACCGUUCUCCAUAUUAGUCAGGGUGCAGUUCUUAACUAUGAUCCCGGUCACAUCCUUUUCUUCCUUAUAUUUUCCAAGGCUUCCAAUGCUUAUUCCAUGGCCUGGCCCACAAGUAACAUCAGUCACUGUGAUUUCGUGGGAGUCAUCACCAAUAGAAAUACAGUCAUCCCCAGUUCCAAUCUUUGAAUGAGUAAUGUUGAUACUAGUCGAAGCCCCGAUAUGGAUUCCAUCUGUGUUUCUGCUCUCGUCAGGUGCUGUAAUGGUAAGCUGUUGAAAUGUAGUAUGGUUGCACCGGAAAACAUGGAUGUGGAAAAAUUUGCUGUUAAGUGAAGUUAUGUCCUGAACUUUGGAAUUUGUGAGGAAUUCAAACCGCAGAUUAACGGGAGGAGGUUUGCAAUUUUUGUUUUUGUGGCAGUCAUUUUGAUUCCAAGAAAGUGCUCCUUGGCCAUCAAGAGCGGCAGCAAAUUUUUGGCGCAUCUACGUAUAUACUCCUGGAUAGAGUUAACAAGAUGAACAGGAAAAGACCAUGCCUACACUAUUGGCGCAUCUACGUAUAUACUUUUUCUAAUAUCAUCCAACUAGAAAGUGCCUCACCUUAACAACUUUAAUUCAUCUCCUUAGCUUAAGUAAUCCAUUUGCACCAUUGUGGUUGUUAGUUCAUCUAUUUUUUACCAUACUCUUUUAAUUUUUCUUAUAAUCCAUAGGUUUUGCUUGCUAUCUACCGGUGACAUUGAUCUCACCUACAAUGGAAACAAAGGCCCUCUUACCUCUCAAUGUUAAUGUCAAGCCCACCAUUAUUUGUGUGACAAAAGCCCUUGCCUGUGCUACCUAUGCUGGGUUAAAGAAAUGGAAAGUACUAAAGAUAAAUUGUCGUGUUCUUUGAUUUUUUUUAUUUUGUGGUGCUUGUAUAGGUCUUUUUUCUUCGCUCAGAUACCUUCACAUGUUCUGAGCUAUAAAAUUAUAAUAUAUUUAAUAUUCGCAAAUAAAUUGCUAGUGUUAAAACAUACAUUCACUAAUUCAUCAUUGUCUAGAUAAUGCAUAAGUUUCUACUCUAUAUACUUUUCUUGGCCUACAACCAGUUCAAUGCCAAGAAGAGGGCAUUCUUUCUUCCCAUGCUUGGCCAAUUGAAGCUGGGAUUAGUAUGCCAGCUUGAUUUUGAUCCUUCCACUAUAUUAAUUGAAGAUUAUCAAACAAACUGAAUGUGUGUGUGUGUAUAUAUAUAUAUUUAUUCUCUCAUCCGGACGGUCUGGACGUUAUUAUUGUGCGGGUGCCAUUGUAAACAAGGAGUAUACUUUUAAAAUAAAUUAAUAUUUAAAGAGUGGCUAUACUUGUUAUUUAUACGAAUAUUUUUUAAGUAUAGCCGGGCGGCUAUAUUAUUAAAAUAUUUGAAUGGAUGUCAAGUGUAUAGCCGUCCGGCUAUACAGCAUAAAUGUGUGCUCUUUUUUGUAAUUAAGUAAUAUCUUACCAUUUUAAAAUUACUUUAAUUUUUAUGUAUUUAGUGAAUAAUUAGUAUUGAAAUAUUUUACUAAUUUCAAUAUUUACUUUAUAAAUUGUAAUUAAUUAUUUUAAAUUAUUUUGUGGACUUUGUUUUUUAUUUAAUUUUCUACAAAAUUAGUUUAUUUGGUAUAAUAUGUUCUAAAUAUUUUAAUAGUAUAGCCGUGCGACUGUACUAUUCAAAUAUAUUAAUAUUGCGGCUAUACCUGUUAAAUAUAUUUUGGUUUUAAGAGUAUCGCCGCACGACAUAAAAUAUUCAGACAUAUUGAAUAUUCAAACAUAUUCAACUAAAUAAACUAAUUUUGUACAAAAUAAAAUAUAAAAAAAGUCCACAAAAUAAUUUAAAAUAAUUAAUAACAAUUUAUUAAGUAAUUUUUGAAAUUAGUAAAAAAUUUAAAUACUAAUUGUUCACUAAAUUUAUAAUAAUUAAAGCAAUUAAAAAAGGCUAAGAUAUUUCAUAUUUACAGAAAAGAAGGCGCUGGUAUUGUGCCUUUUUGGUUGGCAAUCGGCCCAUGUCUUCUCACAACUUGUGAUUUAUCUCAAUGAGUGUGUCAACAUGCUUACGUCCAAGCAUUCUUGUUUUAGUGUGUAGAUCCAUCAGAUACUUCCUUUGAGACAAAAAUGUACCAGUUUUUGACCUUGCUAGUUCAAUUUCGUGGAAGUCUUUAAGAGUACCUAAAUCCUUCAUCUCAAAUUACUAAGACAAAUACUUUUGUAGCUUAUGUUGCUCUCUUGUGUCAUUCCCAAUUACAACAAUGUCAUCCACAUAAACAAUUAAUGCAAUGAUAUUUCCUUCAUCACACUUCAAGAACAGGGUGUCGUUCGGAGAUUGUUUUAACCCAUAUAAUGACUUUAUGCAUUUGCAAACUUGAUUUUUCUUUUCAGGAGCUAAAUUACAUCCUAGUUGUAAAUCCAUGUAUAUCUCUUCUACCAAGUCUCUGUGUAAGAAGGCAUUCUUAACAUCGAACUGAUGUAGUGGCCAAUCUAGAUUUGUUGCUAGAGACAAUAGGACUCUGAUAGUGUCGAUCUUCGCUAUUAGGGCAAAGGCCUCUUGGUAGCCCACCUCAUAUCUCUGUCUGUACCCCUUCGCCACCGAUCUAACUUUAUAUCUUUCAAUGAAUCCAUGUGCUUUAAGUUUCACAGUACAGAUAAAACCGCAUCCCACAGUCUUCUUUCCAUAAGGUAAAGGCACGAGCUCUCAUGUGGCAAUCUUCUAGAGAGCUCGCAUGUAACACCCCGUCCUAAAAAUACUGUUCAAUUGAUUAUUUAAUUGUGGAUUUACAAUUUUACCCUUGCGGGUAGGGUUAUUUUAGGCACUUUUCGAUCUGGACAGAUUUUGAGGAUUUUAGUGACACCAUUUCGUAAAGCUCGCUCUCAUGAGUUUGUAGACACGUAGUGGGCUCAAAUCAGAGUUAUAACGAAGAAGUUGUGGUCAGCGGAAGUGCAAUGACACAAUCAUAAAUAUUUCAAAGUUGGGUUUUAAAAUACCCAAUCAGCCUCUCUCUCUCUCUCUUUACAAGAGCGGCAGCAAAUUUUUGACGGCAAUUUUGUCAUCGUCCGGUGUCCGAUUCGAGCAAAAUUGGUUGCAAAAGUUUCGUAUCAAUGUCCUCUAUCUUACCCACAUUUUCCCAGCUCAAGAAUCCAAGGAAAUUAAACUGAACGACUGGAAGUUCGGGUGAUAUUUGAAGUUUCUGAGGCUGUUUUCAGCGAUCUCAGUGGCGGUUUUCGUCAAUCCAGGUAUGAAUCUUCAUCCCAUCCAUGUGCUCUAGUUGUCUAUGCUGGUAUCUUGGAUUAAUUUUGAGGUUUUACAUGUCAUUCAAAAUACCCAUUUUAGCCAACGAUUUCGGCUUCAAUUCGGCUAGUUUCGACUAGUUUUUGGCCGUGGUCCAAGAACAAAACUUGAUCCCCUAGUAAGUCUGAAUUUGUUGGCAUAGGUAUUCACUGGUGGUUUGGAGAUUUUCCGUCGCUGGAAAAUCUUUUAAGACACCCACACGCUGUCGGUGGUGGAUGGCAGCCCAUGGAGUUCUAAAUUGUUACCCUUAUCGUCCUGAGCAUGACGGUAUGCUUGGAUUUGGAUUUGAUUAUCGUUUGACUGUCGAACGGAUAUUGCACUUGUUAUGCGAUAUCCAGGUUCAAUACGUUUGGACACCUGUUAUGUGAUAUCCAGGUUCAAUAGGUUUGGACCGUUCAAUCAGUCCCAUUUUCUAAUGCGUUAUUCCUCGUACUUCUAGGAUUUGUGUUGGAACUGGUGGAUCGAGAAUGGGAGUCUUGGAUACUCCUAAUCAAUGAUUCUAGAGUUAAGUAAACCGGUUACCGUCCUAUCGUACGAUCGAGAGCGAUCCUAUCGCUCAAUCGAGACUAAACUCUGGAAACUUGUUAAGUAGACCUUGUUGUACUUAUAGUAAAGUUUGGAUCGAAAAUCAGAGGUUGUGGACCCCUAGGGCCCAAUUGGUCAAAUUCAGCGAUCGAGGUCAAACCGACCGUUAGAUUGUGAUGAGACUUCUAGAAUGGGCUGAACUUUUGGUUAUGGACCAAUAGGAAUUGUCAUAUAGCAAUUGGGGUUGUGGGCCCUUCGAGCCCAGUUGACUUAGAUUGUGGGCUUUGUUGGCUUGGUUGAGGCCUUUUAGUAGUUGUAAUUGUAAUUGGAGGUUUGUUUUAAAAUGGUAUUGUGUUUUGAGUGUUUUAUUAAAUUUUUAUGAAUUAUUAUGUAAUCGCUUUUACUUUCCAUGAAUAAGGAAUGGCUUGGAUAACUGGAUUUUGGCAUGAAUAAGGAAUUAAUUAAAUGCCUGAUUGUAUGUCUAUAUUUAAAUAUAUGCUCGAUGGCUUGAAAUCGAUGAAUGAUGGAUACUAGUUUUCUCAAUAGUAUGUUGUACAUAUUUGAAUGUAGUUUGAGAACAGUUUUGAAAGAUUAUGCAUGGUCAAGUUCAAGUUAAGGAAUGUUGGGAUUGAUCUCAUUUUAAAAAUGGAUUUUUGGUUAUCUAUUUAAGAACUGAUUUUUGGAAAGUUGAGAAAGAAUUUGGAAACUUGAUUAGUGGAAAAAGAGGAAUUUUAUGAUAAGUUUUGGAAAAUGGUUUUCAAAACCCACCACCGGAGUACCGCCCCCCAAUUGCCUUCGGAACAGUCUAGUCAUUUAUGACAAUGCCCACGAGUCUCAGGGACCCUUGAACCAUGUGGUGCGAGGAUUUGCGUUCUUGGGUUGAUUAUAUCUUCCUGAGUCCUGCAAGGGGAUUUGACGGAUAUGGGUUUCGGGCUGAUGACCCGAUUUUGCGAGGAUAUUCGUUCUCGGGCUGACCACGUGUUCCCCGAGUUACAUGGGAAAGUAGUGGGGAAAGUGAAGUCCUCCUCCCCCCUUGGGUUUUGUUUUCCCUCAUCACGGGAAAGUUUGGGAAAAUGAGCCAAUAUUAAAUGCACAUUUUUCAUGAUCAUUUUGUCCCCAUUAAAAAUUUAGAAUUACAAUAUAUCAUUAAAUGCAUUCUUUUUAUUUGAUUUAAUAUGGGUAUAAUUGGAAAAUUAUACAAAUUUUGUUUUCCAUUCCUACUCAAAACGAACAUGGGAAAGGAAAUAAAGUGAUAUCUCCUGGUUACUUUCAUUUCCCAUCUCUUGGGAAAUGACAUGGGAAGUGAUUUCCCCUCAAAUCCAUCCCGUGAACCAAAUGGGGCCUUAAGGUAAGAGCUUUUCACCCAUAACAAGUUUUCUUUAGGGUUUUCCAUCCCUGGUUUGUCUGGGGUUUUCUUUAUUUUCUUACCAAACUGGUGAUAUACAGGGGUUUCCCUUCAAUAUCCAGGUAGUUGGAAUGGAAGAGGUGAUAAAUUCGUUGGAGAAAGUACUCAUCCUAACUGAAGACGAGAAUGAUUUGAUUCAGUACGACAAAAUGAUGUCGAUGACGUGGGGGAGCGACUCAAGACGAGCCUGGUUGGAAAAGUCUUUACAACUAAUGUUUUCAACCGGGAGACAUUCAAGCAAACGAUGUUGAAGAUUUAGAACAUGGCUCGUGAGGUGGGGGUGAAAGAUUUAGGUGAAAAUAUCUUUUUGUUCAUCUUUGUGACGGAAGGGGAUCGACUGCAGGUGUUGUGCAGUGGGCCUUGGAAUUUUGAAAAGCUCUAGUAUAACUUGAGAUUCCUAGUGGUAGUAUUGCUCCAUAAGAAAUGCAUCUAAAAUAUGCAAAAUUCUGAAUUCAAGUCCAUAACGUACCACUGAAUUGUAAGACGACAAAUAUGGGGUGACAAAUUGGGAAUAUCUUGGACAGUGUUUGGAUGUAACACAUAGGGCAUGUAUGGGGUGUGUUUGGGUAGAUUUAUGAGGAUGCGUGUUUGUUUGAUGUCUCCAAGUCGUUACGGUGAGGAAAAAGGUGAUUCUACCUUCUGGAAACAUAGAGUUAGUAGAUUUCCGAUACGAACGAUUGCCGGAAUUCUGUUUUGUGUGCGACAGAGUGGGUCAUGUGUUCAAGGAGUGUUCUUUUGUCGACCUGGCAGCCAAGCAAGCAAGCAAAAAGCCUAAUGGGACAUGGUUAUAGGCCACCAAUGAUUUUAUCACUACAAGGGCAAGUAGUCCUAAGCGAUCCAACUGUGGUGGUAUGAGUAGACGUGACGACGAUGAAGGUAAUGGAACUCGGGACCACAAUGUUCAAAGGAUAGUUUGUACCAAUGAUAUGCAUUGGUCAAAGGAGAAUGGAGGUCCUAAAGUCAAUGGAGAGAGGUCGUUUAUGCAAGAAAACCCCAUCAAUGCCAAAAAUUCACAAAGAAAGGACGAGGAAGGGAAUUGUGUGAAGGGGAAAAAGGUGGAGGAAGGGAGACAAAAGGAAAAAUCUAAAGGGGAGAGGGUGGCUGAAUCUUUUGUAGGACUGAUGCAUUAACAAAAAGAGGAGGAGGUGGCGUGGGAGGCAAUAGUAGGAGGAGGAGAUGCUAGUAGUGGGUGUGCGAGGAACUCCUCGAAUAGGGCUGAGGUAGCAACGAUUCUAGAACUUGUAGAUCAUGACAUGAUUGAUAUGGAAAUGCCGUUACAAAACUUCAUUAUGAUUAAGGAGAAAACAAUUAAGGGUACUCACAAAAUGAAAGCUGCGGAGACAAAGGCAUUUAAGGAGGAUAUGAAUAUCAAAACCUUUGCAGCUAGAGUUAAGGUUUCCCUUGGUGAGGAUGUGCGUGAAUCAUUGUAAAAUAUUCCUAUGCACAAUCCAACCAAUAAUAUUGCAAGUGGGUUGGGUACCUCUGGGCUCGCAAAAAUUAUUAUUGGGGCCCAAAAGAAUGUUGGAUCAAGGUCUGAAUCUGAAACAAAAAAAUUGGAGGACUAUAUGCAGUAUGAAGUACAUGUACGAGAAAAUAAUAAAAUCAAUGCCAACUCAAAGAGUGGUAAAGGGUCAUGGAAACGUAAGGCAAGGACAAGAUGUGAAUCAACCAAUUCGCAUAUGGGGGAACUCAGCGACUUUAGAGCUUUAAUUGGAAAAGGGGGAGUAUUGGAGAUAAUGGAUGAAGGGAGGCCUGUGUCAAAGUGGGUCAAAGAGGGAGAAGAUAUGAAUGAUUUUACAAACAGAUUGGUGGGAUUAGUGGGCUGACCCACCACGAGCCAUGAGGAUCUUAAGCUGGAAUAUCCAAGGUCUGGGGGCUCCUCGGACAUUCCACUCUUUCAAAAACAUUUUGCGAGAGAAAAAAACCCGAUUUGGUCUUCCCUGUGGAAACCAAAAUGACUUCAAAUCAAAUGGAAAAUAAACGAAUACAACUUGGAAUAGAAGGGGCAGUUAAUGUUGCGAGAGUGGGUUUGGGGGAGGUUUGGUUUUGUUCUGAAGCAGUGGGUGGAAUGUGCGGUUAUUAUCUUACUCAACUGGUCACAUUCAUGCUCUGAUAACUGAUUCGAAUGACUCAUAAUUUUAUUUUACUGGGUUUUAUGGGCAUCCUGAUACUCAACAACGAAACCAUUCUUGGGAGUUAUUAUGCAGAUUAUCUCACAGGAUUCAAGGUGCUUGGGUGCUAGUUCGAGAUUUUAAUGAGAUUUUGCUUCCUAAAGAAAAGCAAGGUGGACGAGAACAACCUCAAUUUCAGAUGAACAAUUUUAGGAAGGCUUUGCAUGAUUGUAGGCUUAGCUUCACAAGAUUUAUAGGGUACCCAUUUACUUGGGUACGCAGCUUUCCAUAUGGUAGUGUGGUGGAAGAACGGUUAGACAAAUGUGUAGCAAAUGGGGCUUUCUUUGGCCUUUAUUCAUAUUUGAUGACUAACCACUUAGUAGCAAUGGGUUCUGAUCACUACUCGAUUUUCGUGGAGGCUUGUGUUGAUGAUCCAGAAUUUUUUUCUCAUAAAAAACGGAGUAUAUGGUUUCAUUUUGAAGAAAUUUGGACCAAUGAGCAAGAAUUUGAAAAGGUAAUUAGAAAGGCAUGAAAUUUUAUUGAUGGAGCUGAUGGAGUAAGUAAUAGUUUAUCAUUGUGUGCAAAGGAGCUCAAAAUUUGGAACCAAGUCAUCUUUGGUAACGUUCGUAAUCAACUCAAAUUAGCUUAUCAGGAGUUAGCAGGCCUUCAAAGAAGACUGACAACAUAUCAUGUGUUAAAGUCAAAAGUUGAGAAAACUAUUUCAGACCAUUUAGAAAAGGAAGAAAUUAUGUGGAGGCAACUAUCUCGAUAGUAGCGUGGCUCAAGGAGAGCGAACAAAAAUACCCAUUUUUUCCAUGAACGGGCAAGCUCUGGAUCAAAACGCAAUAGGGUACGCGGACAUUUUGAUGAAAAUUAGGUCUGGUGGACAGAUGAGCAUAAGAAUGGAGCCCUUUUCUAUGACUAUUUCAAGUCCUUAUUCUCUUCCUCUAGCAGCCAGCAAAUGGAGUGGAUUCUUAAUUAUGUAAGUCCUGUAGUAACAAGUGAUAUGAAUGAUCGCUUUCUGCAAGUUUUUACAAGGGAUGAGUUGGAGUUCGCAUCAUUUCAAAUGUUCCUAACAAAAGCACCUGAGUAUGAUGGUAUGUCGGCCUUAUUUUUCCAAAUGUAUUGGCACAUUGUCAGAGAUAUGGUGUCUACUAAGUGCUUGCAGAUAUUAAAUGGAAAAGGGAGUGUUCAGGAAUUUAACUACACUCUUAUAGCUCUCAUCCCAAAAAUAAAGACGCCAACAACUGUUUCAGAAUUUCAUCCUAUCAGUUUGUGUACGAUAAUUUACAAAAUGAUAGCGAAAACAAUUGCCAAUCAGUUGAAAAAUGUUCUUCCUUAUGUGAUUACAGAAAAUUAAAGUCCCUUUGUACCGAAUCGAAUGAUUUCAAAUAAUAUGAUGGCAGCUUUUGAAACAAUGUGAUAGGACCCGACUUAAAUUUCACUUUGGAAUUCGGUCAAACACUAUGCGUGUCCAACACCAGGCAAGUGUCGGUACGAAUGACCAAAAUACCCUUCUUGCCCUAAACCAGAAACUACUUUAGGGUUUGACUUCUACCGGUACCGGCAAACUAGCAUAUUCUCCCCUGAAAAAGUCUCAAAACCUAGAAAUCUACCUGCACUGCAAAUUCAAAUGAUUCCCCAAGAGUUCAGCAAAUUUAACUUUUCAAAACUUAACAUAACAUAACAAACCAAACAAAAACUUGCGGCUGCAUUUAGGUUAGCCUAGGUUGUCUACGUACCCUUACUGAGGGAUCAAGCCACACAUAGUUCUUUCUACCCUGAAUCACAAUUAAGAUAGUAAAGAAAUAUUCAAAAUGAAACCAGCGAAAUUUUUUUGGAAUCAUUCUUUAUCUUGGUCUUCACAAGCUAUAUAAUUGAAUAUCAUGCCAUUAAAUCAUGUACCUAACUGUUCAAAUAGUUUAUCAUUGUACAUCUAAAUACUUGCAUAACCAAACCUUUUACCUAAAAACCAUACCGGCAAUCAUCUGCAUUGUACAUAUAUCCUAUAAUCACCCACCAAUGGGUAUAUGAGAACACCAUCAAAUCUGAAGGUAACAAGGGAAGGUGAAACUAGCUAACUACCUGUGUAGAUAAGUCGGGUAGGUGGUAGGGAUUCUGGCCAACCCUGUGCAGAUAAUAUGAGCAAGGUGGUGAAUAAUAUCCUGUUAACUGUACCACACAUUGGUACUGCACUAAUCUCCACAUAGAUAAGUUUUAAAAUUGAAUUUUUAAUUUUUAAUUAAUAUUUUAUGAAAAAUGGGGUAAAGUGAGACAAAAUAAGUUUAAAGGGAAAAAGUGAGACUCAAAUACACUUUCAGGGGGUAUAUCAAUAAAUAAGCCUUCGUUUAAUGUUAAUGCGCAACACCUACUUGGUUUCAGGUGAAAUUGCAACUUCUUUUAUGGUAGCAGAGUUGACUAUUCACGUGUCGGAUCAAACAACCAUACAUGCUACCACGGAAGGACGGAACCAGAAUUUUUUUUAACGAGUGGGCUAGCUAAAGUUAUUAAUUAGCUUAAAAUUUAAAUCAUAUAAACCACGCUAGUUCGCCAAUGGGGUCUAGCCAAGUGGACAAGGGUCUUAACUUGCAAAUCGGUGGUCUCUGGUUCCAACCCUCCACCUUCUUGUAGUUUAGACUAUUGUUUGUUUUAAAAAAAAAAAAAAAUUAGAAACACGCUAGUUCAUAAUUCCAUUGACUAAUUUCCAAUAAGUUUUCUCUUUUUUUAUAAGCGAUAUUUGGUGAAGGGGAAAUCGAACUUGGAGACUUUGAGUGCAUGGGUAAAUGUUAAUUUCCAAUAAGCUUUAACAUAAACAAAUACGUAUUAAAUGCAAUCAAAAAACACAUGUUAUCAAAAUGAAAAUAUGUUCAACAACAUACUUGAAAGUGUACCUAUUUUAAUUUUUAAUGUGUAUGUUUAUUGAUCCCCUGCAACUAAAUUCAUAAAGACUUAAGAUUUUUUUGGACUUUAAUAGGUUAGUACAUACUAGGUUAUUUAUAAAACAUGUUGUUGAUGCCCAACAUCGGAGAUCAACUUAGGUGGAAGAAGUGUUACAUCUUCAACAGGACAAGAGAGUUGUGGACCUUCGGCAAGGCGAGAUCCUGUAGAAAAAAUAGGGAAGAAGCAAUCAUUAAACUUCGGAUACUGGUGUGGUAGCUACUGAAGACUCUCCGAUGCUUAAGUCAGUAAGUGUGGGAUACGUUAUAAUUUUGGUAGAGUAACAGUAAAGGUGAAAAGUAGUUACCCUUUUUACCUAAGCACUAUUCCUCUUUUAUAGGGAAAUGAAAGUGAGAGUUUGCACAAAGUUUCAAUGUGGGACUUUGUGCAAAUUGUUGUGGUGGCGACAUGUGUCUGUGGUUCUAGGUUUUGUAGUUUGAGAGCAUCGGCAGCCGUUUCGGUAGGCGACUAUUGCUUUGGAGAGAGGUAUCCCUUCGGCAGGUCAAGAAGAUGAUGACAUCAUUAGUAUUUUAAGCCGAAUAUGCUCGGGCGAUUAUGGUGUAAACACAUGUUAGAUAUAUAUGUUUUAUUUUUGUUUUUAUCCCCAAAACCUCCCUUAACUACAACACAUUGUAGCCCUCGGAGUAGUUCCGCUCUCGCUCCCACUUCACCCAAUAUAUAUUGUCCAUGUAUUACACUUGAGUUAUACCGCAGGUGAGGGUGCGUGUUGAGAGUAAACUGUCAUUAUAAUAGAAUACUUUGAAAAUUUGGUUGUUUUCCACUUGACUUUUCGUUAGUGGCUGACUGUAAUUUCUCUUUGAGCAUCAUUUGUAUCCCUACCCAAUUAUACAAGAGCAUUAUUUAAUUUCAAAUAUAAAUUCGGGUGCUAAUGCUUUUUACUAGGUUCCCACUUUAAAAAGUCAACAAUUUCAACUAGGCCAUACAUGACCAGUACUUUUAGAAACUUCCUAAAUGUGUAUUUAUAGAGUAUGUUCUGGACAGAAGCAUAAAUAAACGGAACAAAUUACCCACUUUGAGUUUCAGCCAAAAUGUUCUUCUCCAAAUCAAUCCCUCUCUGUUUCUUACUCUUCUGUCUUUUACACCAUGCAGCGCUUGGUGCUUCACUUUUCCAUUUUUGUUUCAGCAAGGAAAACUACACUGCCCAUAGCCCAUAUGAUGCUAACUUGAUUCAGUUGUUCAAUCUUCUGUACACAAAAGUUCCUCCUACUGGAUUUGGCCUUGGAUCAACUGGUAAAGGCCAAAACCAAGCGAAUGGGCUAGCCCUAUGCCGCGGGGAUGUCUCAAGCCAAGAUUGCAAGACUUGUGUCGUUGAAGCAAGCAAAGAGAUCAGCGCUGCCCUAGUGGGAAAGGAGCCAUAAUAUGGCACGACAACUGCCUGUUCAAGUACUCAAAUGUGAAAUUUGCUGGGAAAGUUGAUUACAAAAACAAGUUUUCUUUGUGGAAUGGCUACAAAGUAGAUGAUCCCAUGCCAUUCAAUGCGAAAGUUAAGGAACUGUUAAGCGGGUUAUCUACUAAAGCUUCUUCUAAUCCAAAGUUUUAUGCUACUGGUGAGCUAGUGCUCAGCUCUUGGGAAACACUAUAUGGUCUGACCCAAUGUACUAGAGACCUCUAUAGUUCCGAUUGUAAGAAGUGUCUUGAUGAUGCAAUAAGCGAAUUGCCAAAUUGUUGUGAUGGACAACGAGGUGGGCGUGUUGUGGGUGGGAGUUGUAACUUUCGAUAUGAACUUUACCCCAUUGUUGAUCCUUAACUAGAUUAUAUAGCUUUCAGUCGGUUAUGACCAUGCAGCAAUAUUAAUUCAAUAAGUUCAGAACAUGUUUAGAAAGCAUGUUAAUUGUUAUAAAUCUGAAAUGUUUAUUACAUAUUAUGCUUACAAAUAAAUGAUGAAGUGAUAUUCAUGGGACUUCUAAUGCCUCAUUUAUCAGCCUUAACCCUCUUCAUUCUGAUGUAUAUUUGACCAUGCACGUAUACCAAAAAUUUAUUAUUCCGGAACUCUAGAGCUUAAAAAAAUGUGCAAAACGUUAACAAUGAUUGGUUGAGUUAGUAAUGAUCGUUCUCUUCACUAUCAAGGUCUAGGUUUGAGUUCCGCUGUUGACAAUCUCUCUUGGUGGGUAAUCUGUAAAAACAAAAAAAAGGGGCUAAGACUCCUCUGUAACUCCUCAAAGAGGCUUGGUAUGCCCUGGUCCUAGGAUGGGGUAGCCUCCCCUCCCCCUAAACUUUUGUUUACCCAAAAAAAAAAAUUGAGCAAAACUGGGAUAUCAAAAUUAAUGGAUCUGACUACUUGUUUAUUUUAGUUAAUGAUGCUCUCUCUCACCUCAUAUCAGCUGAGUGUACUAGUGGAAGACUAAAUGGCAUUAGAUUAUGAAACGGCAGCCCCACUCUUCAACAUUUGUUUUUCGCUGAUGAUACCCUUCUUUUCAUCAAAGCCUCCACUGAGAACUGUUAACAUAUACAGACCAUUAUCUUGUAUAUUUAUUCAAUCAUCAGUGUAACUUAUAGAAAUGUAGAGAGAAUGACUAGAUGAAAGAGGAGAGAAUUUUAGAGAGAGUGAGAUUGGAGAAGAAGCUAGCUAAGAUUGUAUUAGCUCAGCUCCAAUCUGACAUGCAUAUAUUGUGCUCUGACAAAACCGUUAGGAAUGGAAUAUUCCUCAUUACAUCAUUCAAUCCUAGCCACUCGUUUAAUUACCCUAUGAGAUAAAGACAAGUGGCACAAGACUAUUACAUUUUCUGCUGCAUACUUGGACUGUGAUCCAAAGCUGCCUUUUAAACGAAGAAUAGAAACUUCUUUGUUCUAAUUACAUUUCAGCAAUCACACUUAUAAACCAACACUUAUAAACUUCUUUAUAGAAAUGCAGCAGAAUGACCCACAUUUUGGACUCCUACUGUGCAGCUUCUGGCCAACUUGUUAAUUUGGACAAGUCUAAUAUGUUCUUCGGUCCAGAUACCCGGAGUAAUAUCAAAAGAAGUGUGUGUUCAGUUUUGAAUAUUAAGUAGGCAGACAAUCCGGGGAAGUAUUUGGGUUUGCCGUCGGUUUGGGGUCGCUCAAAAACGGAGGCCCUUGGUUAUAUAAAAGAUCGACUUCUAAAGUUUAUUCACAGGUGGAACAACAAGGAGCUCUCUCCUGCUGGGAAUGAAGUUUUAAUAAAGGUAGUAGCCGCUGCAAUCCUGGCUUACUCGAUGACUUGCUUCAAGUUGCCAAUUACUCUUUGCAACGAGAUCAGUAUGGUGAUGGGUUCGUUUUGGUGGUGUGAUAAUGAUUCUGGGAGAAAGGUUCACUGGAAGAAGUGGGCAGAUUUGGGAGGGGCUAAAAGUUGUGGUGGACUUAGGUUUCUAGAUUUGGUAUCUUUUAACAAGGCUUUAUUGGCCAAACAAUGUGGGAGAAUCAUUAAUAACCCUUAGGUUCUAUGGGUCAGGAUUCUCAGAAGUUUGUAUUUUCCGAAUUCUGGUUUUCUAGAGGCUGAGAAGGUUUUCAGAGCCUCUUGGGCGUGGAAUAGCUUACUAUAAGGAAGAUAUGUUAUUCUUAGUGGUGCUAGAUGGCAAAUUCUGGGAGGCAAUUCUGUAAGGCUGUGGGAAGACUCAUGGCUCCUCCAAUCUGACAAUGGGUACCUCCGCCCAACUGCACGUCCCCUCCAUUGGGCCCAUGAUGGUUGCGGAUAUAAUUGAUUGGGAGCAUAAGCGCUGGGAGUUGGCGGACAUUGAGAACCUGAUUUCUGUGGAUGAAGUCAAUGAGAUCUUUACCCUUCCAAUUGGAGGUAAAGAUAUUCCUGAUUGUCUGAUUUGGCCUUACACGAAGAAUGGCACUUACACAGUCAAAUCGGGAUACCACUGGAUCAUGGGGGAAAACAAGCGAGCUCAGUCAAAUAGGAUUGAAUCUUCUCGCCAGGUGGAUGAGCAAGUCUGGAAUUGUAUUUGGGCUUGCAAAACUCUCCCAAAUUAUUCAUGUGGCGUGUUGUCCAUGGGAUUCUUCCUACCUUUGCUAGCUUCUUCAAGAGGAAGUUGAGUCCUUCUCCCAUCUGCCCUCUUUGCCAUGAUUUUCCUGAAUCUGUGGAGCAUGUUAUCUUCAUAUCCCUAUGGGCUCCAAAAAUAUGGUAUGCUAGUAAUCUAUCUUAUAGACCUGAUGAGCAAGCUUUCUCGUCGUUGGAUAAAUGGAUUUUGGCUAUUUCUUGCUGCUCUGUUUUCUCGAGCCUGGAGAAACAGUGGAUUUUAACUCAUGCUACCUUUGUGUGCUGGAGUAUCUGGAUAGCCCAGUGCUCUUUUAUUUAUGCUACACCAUUUAAUUUCUAUAAACAAAUCCGAAAAAUGACAGUUGGUCAUAUUGAAUUUAACCUUGAUUCCCUAUGAGUGUUUUGAGUUUUUUUAGGGGUUUUUUUUAUGAGGUUUUGGAGUUUGGCUUAUUUUAAGAAAUCGAUGAUAGUUUUGUAAUUUAUAAGAAGUUCGAAACUUCUUUGCUAUGUUGUAAAUGGCCUUUGAGUGUGUUUCUAAAGUCCAUUUUAUGUAGCUUUUUUUAUUUUAUUUUAAAUUUAUAAUUUAGGCUCCGUAUUGGGUAUAUAGUGAAUCUCCCUAACAAAAAGUACAAAAAGUUAUAGUUUCCUCUCAUUUUGAUACAAUUCCUACAAUAACUAUUUCAUUACAAUCUUCAACCUUACAAUUGUGUGCAAUUUCUCUCGUCUCCUUUGUGGUCUUGAUGCCUCUAUCUCUGCAUAAAGAACUCUCUCUCUUUCUAGAUCUCUCCUGAUAAAAUGUCUUCCUCAUUUAAGAAAAUGAUGCCAUCAGCACCCACCACACCAGAAAUGGUGCAGUCAGGAGAAAUCGUGAACCUUAACCAUCAGUCACAAUCACCCCCGCAUGCGAUGGUGACUAAAGAAAUUCGCAAGAGCUGAAAAAUGGGGCUGAUCUAGCCCUAGUUUGCAUUCUAGAAGCUCUCCUUCCAACUUGUUUUAUGAGACUUGAUGGGGCGCAGUAAUAUGAAAAUAAGUCAAAACGAUGGAGAUUAAGGUUACUAAAAAAGUCAAAUAAAACUCGAACUUAUUGUGAUUAUUAAAGAUUAAGAUUAAUUUAUGCGACAAAACUUAAAAUUCAAAAUGAUGAAAUAUAUAUAGAUUAAUUUGAUAAGAUUUGUGCAAUCCUAAUUUCGAAAAAAAAAAGGAAGCAUAUAUAUAUAUAUAAGUAAUAAUGCUAGGGACACCAACUUUGUGCACCGAAUUUGGAUCCCAAAUGAUGUCGCAUAUGACACAUUAUCACUUUGGUGUCUCCCUUAGGUUUUUUGUGUUUUUCACAAAAUCUCUUGAGGUAUUGGAAAUUCCACUAACCUCACAGAUGUGUCAAAUUGUUUUCACAACCCCUCCCAUUGAUUUUCCACCUAAAAAUUGUUGAUUCUGUCGCACAAAAAUCUCCAAAUGACAAUUUUAAUCUAAAAUCUUAGAUUGUGCAUACACCCGAGGUCUAAUCAUUGAGGUUAAUUUUGUCAUUUAAAUUUGAAAAGUUUUUUUUAAUGAAAUCAUCAAUUUUUUCGAUGAGAAAUUAAAGAAAGGGAUUUUGCGAAAAUAAUUUGAAAUUUCAAGGGUUUUUUAGUGUAAGUUCUGAAACUUGAAGGGUUUUUAUGAAAAGAUAAGGUGCUAGUGUAAAUAACUACAUAUAAAAGUCAUGUAUUUCUGUCUGUUCAAGUCGCAAAGUCCCAUUUACAAUUCUUUACCAUCUUCCUGCAAUCAAGAAAUGGACCAAGGACUAUAGAAAACAAAAAUAAAAAAUCGAUCGAUGCAUCAGUGGCUGGAGGCUAUGAGUUCUUGUAGAGAAACGUAGAGAGGAUGAACACGUUACCGUCAAUUUUGAAAGAAAUUUACGAACUUAUCCUUUAGCUAAUGUGGCUUAGUGUAAAUUGUUAGAUCAUUUAAUUGAUCAGAUUUAUGAAAUACGGAUAAAUGAACAACCUCUAAAUGCAAACGCUCUAAAUCCGAGUUACCAUCCUCAAUUCUAUCAAUAGAUAAAAAUUGUCUAUCCCCAAUUCUAUCAUAGUUCAUAUGGGUUCAAGUUGCCUUUGCUCUCCAGCUUUCGCCCCAUCCUUCCAAAUGUAUUGUUAAACUCCUGGACAAAGGAAAUUUCCAACUUCAGACAGAGUAGACUACCUUUUUCACUCACAUAAAGUUGCACCUAUUGGUCGUUAAACAAUCUUGGUCUUGGGAACGAUCUUUUAUGUUUUGGGUUAUUUACUCUAGUGGUCCUCAAACUUAUAUUCGAGUUGUAUUUUGGUUUCUCAACUAAAUUAUUCAUUCAAAUGGUCCACCAACUCUUUAUUAAUUGUUGCAUUGAUCUUACCGUUACAUUUUCUGUUAAAUUUAGUCAUCUGAGCAGCACAUGAUACAUUUGUGAAGGUAAAUAAGACUUUUGACACUGUAAUCCCAUCCCCAAUCCCCUAGCCACAUCCACCUCAACAGACCCCAGACUUGAACCCAGCACCCCAUCCAAGCUAUCCCACUCCAUCCCUGUCUCUUCCUCUCUCUGUCCCUCCCCUCAUCCUUCAAUUUCCUAAUCAAAGAAUUUUCAGUCAUCAUCCCCAUCAAAAUUGUCGUCGGGAAUACCACCAUGGUCAGUAUCUCUUAAUAAGCCUUGUAUGUCAUCUUUGAACAAAAUGUUUUCCCCUUGACAAAAAGCAGUGCUACAACAGUAUUUGUAGUUAGAAAAAACUGUUCAAUAAUAGUGUCUUCCAUUGAAAAUGAAUGAAACACAUUGCCUUACCCAGCAACUGAAUCUUUCUAGUAAUUUUUCAGCUUUUCUUUUGAGAGUUCAUCCAUCAUGUUGUAGACCUGAUAUAUAUUCCAUUUCAGGAAUGAACCUUUGGCCCUCUUCUUUGAUUUGGCUGGUUCUUGACCUUUUUUUUUUGUUGUGCCUUUCUCUUUUGUUCUCUCGUCUCUACUUUAGGGAAUGAGAAAUCUGGUCUGGUUGCGAUCUUUUGAUAUGUUGUUUGUUGGCCCUUGGAUGCAAGUUUCUUGAUUUUAUCUCUUAUGUUUCACCUUCUUGCUUUUUUCCUUUAUCCUCUUCACUCUGCAGUUCUUGUGUUAAUUUGUGAUCUCUCAACAAGGUAAUGACAGCUUCCUUUUCAUUUAUAAUCUCCAAGUAGGAAAUCUUCUCUGCAAGAAGUUGAUCAUUUUCUAGUUGUAGCUUUGUCAUGUAGGAUUUUUCCUCAUAAACCUCAAGUUGAAUGGAAUUCUUUUGAUAUGCUUCUUCCUUAACCAGCUUCUGCAGAUGUUGUUGUUGCUUCCUUAAUUCUUCUUUUUCAUUGUAUAGUAUCUAAAUCAAUUUAUUCUUUUUUAUGCAUGAUACUAUUGCAUCAUGGAUCUUUUGAUGCUCUCAUUUCUUUAUCCAAUUCAGCAUCAUUAUUGAUCUCCAUCAUAUACUCUUUUGUAAAUUGUAUUUCAUCCUCCUUGUAUUCUGGGAUUGAUCUAACAAUUUUCUCAAACAACGUUGUAUUAUUGUAUUCUGGGAUUUCAGUUUGGAGGUCAUCUUGUAGUUGGUGGUGUUGCUAGGCUUUAUGUUCUUGGUGCUCUUGCUCCUUUUGUUGUGCCACAAGGUCAUCACUCUCUCCUUUGUCAGUGACGUUGAGCCUCCUUUUUUGGAUAAUAACAGUGUUAUGUUUUCCACAAUAUUAGAAAUGAAAUAUUAGAAAGGAAUAAAAAAAAAUAAGAUUAGCAAAUUUAUAAACAUGUGUGUGUAUAUAUAUGUGUGUGUGUGUGUGUUUGUACACCCUCAAUUUAGUUUUCAAUUAUAAACAUUGGAUCAUUAUAGGUUAUCUUACCAAAUUUUUAAGUGUGAUAACGAAGGCAUCAUCCUCCUCUUCAUUUUCUUCUUCAGCAGUGUCAUCAUGUUCUUCAUUCACUUCUUCAGCAGCAUCAUUCUCCUCUUGAACUUUAGUGCUUUUGAUCUAUUUGUUAAGUAGAGUUAGUAUUAAGAGUGUACUUCUAUAACAUGGUAUUAAAAGUGUACUUCUAUGAAAUGGUAUCAAUAGUUUACUUCUAUGACAUGGUAUUAAUAGUUUACUUAUAUGACAUGGUAUUAAGAAUGCACGUCUAUGACAUGUUAUGAACAAUGUUGUCAUAUUAGCUGCAGAUUAUUUGAAAGCAAAGAGUACCUUUAUCUAGUCGUUCUUUAGAUGGUGAAGCUUCGCACUCAGUUGUUGAAGACUCCAUUUGAUAGCCCCUGGUGUCAUUUGUUCUCUUCCAGGAAUUGGAGUGAGUAGGUUAGAUCUUUGACACAACCAAUACUGCACAAUUUUUUUUUUGUUUUUUUUUUUGCAAUAUCACGUGUCAAUGACAAGACCUAACCCAAAUUCCACUUUGGAAUCUGCGCCAAGCCCUAUGCUUGUCCAACACCUGGCAGGUGCUGGGCUCACUUAACCAAAUUACCCUUCUUAUUAAAACUUAAAAAUUCUUCUAAGGUUUGACUUCUGCAGAAAAUUCGGCAAAGUUACCCCUGUAAAUUGCUUGUUUCCCAAAAUUUACACCUGUACAAAAUUGCAAUUCAUAUAUCCACAAACGUUUAGCAUGCACAAAGUUAGAACACACACAAUCCAGAUAAUGCUACGAAUUUGCAGUUUGGAGAUUUGUGUUCUUACCGGUAUUAGGAUUAGGCAUCCACUCACGCUUGGCUGCUUUUUUUUUUUGUCUUUCUUGUUCUUCUUUGCUUGUUCUAAUCCAAAAUACAUGUAGUCCAAAACUCCUUGAGCCCAAUUAUAUUUCCCCAUCUCUUCUAAGGUGUCUAUUGUAGUUGUAUAUGUCCAAGCGAGUGUACAACGAGAGUUGCAGAAGAGAUUGGUCAUGAAGAGUUGUACGAUUAUCAAUCUUGGUACAUCCAUAGGACCCUCUUCUGUUUCAUCUUUAAGUGCUAAGUUCAAGCACUUAUCAAUUGAAGUCUUUAUUAUCUUCUUAUAACCCAUGAAGUAUUUCUUCACAGAAUGCAAAUCCGGCCUUGUUGAGGUUGUUGUGCUUGGUAGCUUCUUGCCUUUGUUUGUCAAGCCAAAAAUUUCAGACACAUCUUGGCUUUUCAUCUCACUGUCACCAUCUUUAAACUUGAACUUCCUCGUCUUUGUGUCAUAGUCUUGUAUGAGUCUCACGAUGUCAUAAUUAGACUUCAUGUACUCUACCUUUGUUAACCUUUUCUAGAUAUAUGCUUCUAUGAGUAUCCAAAAAGGUGUCUUCGAUAGUAGUGUCAAGACAUAGUUCCGUUGUUCAGGUCUGUCUCUGAUGUUGACAAUUGUUGUUGCAAAAGUGAGCAUGUUGCUCUUGGUCUGCACAUAGUUUGGGUCAUCCCAUCUGUUUGGCUUCUUGUUUGUUUUCGUUUUGGAUGAUGAUUGUUUGCCUUUUGGUUUUGAGGUUGGUCUAGUUUGUUCUUUCUUCAUCCUUUCUUUGGUAUACCUGCAUUAGAAAUAACAACAUGACGGCCAUUAAUCAAUAUGACAGUAAAGUAGCAGUGUUAUUACCCUAUACUGGAACUUUACAAUGGUAGACAUGCAUUAGAAAUAUGAUUUCAUAGGAAACAAGCAGUGUUAUUACCCUAUACUGGAACUUUGCAGCCAUUAAUCAACUUAACAGUAAAGUAGCAGUGUUAAGAAUGGGUAUAUGACUAAAUAUCUCUUUCCUUUUUGAGUUGCAGAAAAUUGACUAUUUUAUAGUCCUAUGCAGUCAGUCCAAUAGUGAAAAUCCAAUAUAUUUUCAAGAUUUUGUCUUGGAUUCGCAUCUAAAAUACUGUUAUUACCCUAGACUGGAACUUUACUAUGGUAGACAUGCAUUAGAAAUAGGAUUUCAUAUAAAACAGGCAGUAUUAUUACCAUAUACUAGAACUUUAUAGCGGUAGAUAUGCAUUAGAAAUAGGAUUUCAUAGGAAACAAGCAGUGUUAUUACCAUAUACUGGAACUUUACAGCCAUUAAUCAACAUGACAGUAAACUAGCAGUGUUAAGAAUGGGUAUAUGACUAAAUAUCUAUUUUCUUUUUGAGUUGCUGAAAACCGACUAUUUUAUAGUCCUAUGCAGUUAGUCCAAUAGUGAAAUCCAAUAUAGUUUCAAGAUUUUUUCCUUGAUUCAAAUCUAAAAUACUGUUAUUACCCUAGAUUGGAACUUUACAGCAAUUAAUCAACAUUACAGUAAGGGUUUGGUUUGUAAAUGUCUUACCUUUGAAGCGUUUUCUUGUUGAAAUUGUUCUCUGAAAUUUUUUCUUUGUUUUGUAGGUGGAGGUCAGUGUAUGGUGUUUGUUUUUGAAAGUAGAUCAAGCUUGGUGGUGGUUAUAGAGUUUCAAUUUGCAUAGAUGAAGACUUGUUGAUGAAGACGGUGAAAUGAAAAGACGUUUCGGAGAGAUGGUCUAAUGAAGUCGAGUGCUUGAAGUUAAGUUACGGUUUUCGAGAUGGUAAAAUGUUCGGGCUUUUUUAUAAAAUUGGGCUGGGGUUGUUUUGGGUUUUUUUUGAGUUUUUUUUUUUUUUUUCUGUUGGGCUUGAUCAGUGGCAGUCCUAUAAUUUAUAGGAACUUCAACACCAAUUUCUUAUAUACAAAUGAAUUUUGGGUGUGUUUCUAAAGUGCAUUCUAUAUGGAGUUUUUUUAUUUAUAAAUUCAGCCCAUAUUUUGGGUAUAUUAGUGAAGCUCCCAAUAAACUAAUGGUGGGCUAUGCAACAAAGUGGAGAAAUUGUUUAUUCAAGGCAUGUUGCAGUCGGUUGCAACAGUAGUAGCUCUAACCUCCUAUAAAAAGAGAUGAAACCUUUGUCCAAAAACACACCGAGCCUUACAUUUCUCUUGAGCUAUCUUUUCCUUCCUCCAAUUCUCCUAGUUCUAGUUAUAAAUUUUCUGUUUUAGUUUUUAUGGGAACUAACUCCCUAGCUAAGGCUAGGGAGAAAGCUUUUAAUAUGAGGGUAAUUUUUAUUAGUUUGAUCCAAACUUAAGCUUUAAUGUUAAUUUGUAGUUUUUGUUCAAAUGGAUAGUUUACUUUUUAAUUAAUUGAUGAAUGUUUGAUAAUCUAUUUCAUGGAUUCAAUCAUGGUUUUUCCAUUGUAUAGUAAAAACUUUCAUGCUUUUAAAAGAGAAGAGAAUUACUAAAUAUUAAUAGAAUUUCAAUGAAGAUUAUUUUUUGAUAGUUUGUUGCCAAUGGUACAAGUUAUGCUUAGAAUACUUCUAAAGGAAAUUAAAAAGAGCUUUAAUUAUUUUGAACAACUACAAUGGAAAAUAUUUUGUGGAACAAAUUAAUAAGAAUUGCCUGCUUAUGUUAAAAGUGGAACCCCAAUGCCUUAGUGUUUUAAUCAAUUGAAUUUUCUUUAAAUCAAAUCUCAUUUAAAUCUACUUCUCAAUCAUAAUUGUUCUUUUUCAGCUAUGUUAUUUUCUUUACAUCGCUCUCUGUGGAUAUGACAUUCGGACUUUCGAGCUACACUGCUAUAUGACACCUCCCCUUGGGUUUUGCAAGCGGUCAAUCAAUGUGCAACUUUCUCUUUUCUGCACGAAAACUAAAAUAAGAAAGAAAAAAAAAAAAAAAAAAAGGGAGCCGAUUUUCUCACUCCCUUUUACUUUUUAAUACUUUUUAAUUAAUUUUGUUCUUUUUAUUCUUUAUCUUUCCUAUUCUACCCUUACCCUACAAUUCUCUUUAAUAAACAUGUAUCACUUACUAAAAUUAUGAAAGAAUUAAAAUCUGAGAAUUAUGCAUACCUUGCUCUCUGCAUAUCUUAGCUCCUAAUGACAGUUUGGUUAGUAGCAUUCUUUGGUUCUUAUACCAUAUUUAUAUAUUAGCCCAAAAAAAUUAUUAUCUAUUAACUAUAGUCUAUAACAAAGAUAAAUAGUACUCACAUACCUGGUAAAAAAAACUAAGAAUUUCGCAUACAAAUACUCUCAUUUCUAUCCAUUUUCCAUAUAUAUAUAUAAUUUUAUUUUAUUUUGGUUUUAUUUUUUGUUAACUUUUCUUAAUUUUAGUUAUCAAAACCUUAAUAUAGGGUAAGGGUAGAAUAGGAAAGAGAAAUAACAAAAAAGAACAAUAUUGAUUAAAAAAAUAUUUUUUUUUAAAACAAAAGGGAGUGUAAGUGGGGAAAAAGAGAGUGGAGAAAUCACCACCCAAAAAGAAAUUAAGUAAACAAAAGAGCUCGAUAAACUUAUGCACAGCCCCCAAAAUCUUCUCCCAAGUUAUCUUCAAUCCAUAAAGUCAUCAAAAAACCAUUUAUUUUCACAUCGAACCCCGGGUGCCUCCAUUUCCAUUCUCAAAUUUGCAGACAAGGUUACUAUAGAUCCAAUGUUGUUGAUUUGGGGCUCAUUUCAGAUACAUUGGUUGAAUAGUCGUGGCGGCCAACAUGCGGCCCUCUAAGAGCAUGUCCAGAGCAGGAGGCCUGCCGGGCAACAGGCCCCCCCACGCCAAGUUUGGACCUCCAGCGCUACCAAUCCAGCCCGGGCAAGCCCAAGGGCAAAUUCUACUUGGGUUCAAGCCCGAAGGCGGUGACGUCAGCGAGUGAAAAAAAUUGAAAAAAAUACCAAAAAAUUAUGGAUGUUUUCCCUAUAAAUACAUAACAAUUUUAUUCACUUUCCACACCAAAUCCUCAUACAAACUCUUCUCCUUCUAAUAUUUGUAAAUUAUAAUCUUUUUUUUUUCCUGCAUUUGUAAAUUGUGUAUAUUUUCUUAAAUAUUUAUUUUUUUCUUGCAUUUCUAAAUUGUCGCAUAUUCUUUUUUUUUUUUUUUUCUUUCUCUUGCCCUAGCCUUUUGUGGUGGAACCAAAAAAGACAAGGAUGUGAAUAGUGGCAGCCCUUCCUUUACCUUUGCCUUAGCCUUAGCCUUAGCCUUAGCCUUAGCCUUUUGGAGUGGACAUGCUCUAAUUGUUUGUCCACAGAUGAGCUUACAGUCACAGAAACAACAAAUGUAAUAUGCUUUCAGAAAGAAAAAAAAACAUACGGUGCCAUGAAAACAAUAUGCUUCAUUAUUCUGAAAUUUUCUACCAUCGUUUAUAUAUGAGAGAUUUAAAUAAAACCUACCCAAUUGUAUGGAGGUGAAGUGCCGACUAAAUUGUUUCUGUAUUGGAAGUUUCAAAGAAGUCAUCCUUCCUGUGAAAUUUCCUUUCCCUAAUCACCACUUGGAAUUCAAAAGAUAAAAAACACCAUCCAACCGAAACUCAGCCCUAAUCUUAAAGAACAAUAACAAAGCAUUACAGUUGCUUCACUACUGCAUAUAUAUCAUUAACAUGAAAAAAGAUCAGGCAGACAAUUUGAAUUUGUUAGCGUUUGACAAUGUGAAACAUCAAAUGCAGACCCGAAACAUGAAACAAAAGAAAAGGUUUAGCAUUUGAAUUCAAAGAAGAGUGUUUCUUUUUAUUUUAGGCACUAAUGCAACAUAAGUAACUUCUAUUCGUAUCAAUGUAGCAACCAUGUUUAGUCCUAUUUAGUGCAUUAACAAGUUAGUGCCUGUUCAUUCAGAAUGUAUCAAACAAUAUACAUCAUUAACUGAAUAAAUUAUCGAAAUAAAAUAUUUCAAUUAUCAUUUACAUAUUAAAGAUUUUAAUAAAAUUUCCCCAACAGAAAGGUUUUACGUAAGCAAGACGGCUUAUGAUGGCAGUUGAAAAAUUAACUAAAUUGUUUCUGCAUCGUAAGAUGCAGAGAAGUAAUCCCUCCCAAUUAAUUACCCUUUUCCUAAUUGCAACUUGAAUGAAAGAUAUCAACAAUGACCAUCCAACCUGAAUAUAACAAAGCUGAUGCAGGAUGUGUAGGACCUAAAUUUAUUAGUUUCCUAGAUACUCUAGUUUUCCAAAUUCUAGUAGGAUUUCUACUUUUCCAGAUUUCCAGAUUUCCAGAUUUCUAGUUUUAAGUUACCUAAACUCUCUAAUUCCUUCCCCUUUCCCUUCGUCUCUUCGAUCCCUAAUUCUUCUCCUCGAUCUCUUAUUUCUUCUCUGUUCUAUUGCUAAGUAUUUUCUCUAAAACCUACGGGCCGUUCUACAUCAAAAGCACUAUUAACUUGCAGAGUGUGUGUGUGUGUGUGUGUGUGUGUGUGAGAGAGAGAGAGAGAGAGAGAGAGAGAGAGAGAGAGAGAAACCUAACGCCUGAUUUAUAAUUUGUGGUUCGUGCUGGGCGGGAAAAGAAAAGAAGACGAUAAAAGAACUAGUCCGCUAUAACAGUGAAAAUAUGAUAAAAGAACUAGUAUACACAUGUAAGAAACAGAUCAUGGAACAACAAAUUAUGCCUACAAACUACUUCUACAAAAAAAACAUAGAACAAAAUUUUUCAAAAUCAUGUGGUUGCAGCAGCUCCAUUGACCACAUAAUCAAGGGGAUGAGCCUAAAUUGUAGGGGAUGUGAUGUAUGAAACCUUCCCGUUUCAAUUUUCUCAUUGUAAGAAAUAACAAAAAACUUCAAACAGUUAAAAUGUUGGAAGUCACUCCUUUCACAUAUGUUUAGACAGCCAAGUGAAAGGACAAAAAGCUAGUUCUACACCAAUUGACUCAAUGUCCAGGGCCAAUUAAAACCUUUUUUCUGCAAAUUACAUAUUUGCAUUACAUUCAGGUAAGGGGAGGAUCCAUAAAGAAUUCAAGAUUACAGUCUUCAUUUUACAAAAUGACGACUUGUUCGUUAGGAAUCAUCCAUCAAUUCAACAGUUACAUACUCAUAAACACAAGCAAAGACACAGGGUGACCCUUGAAAGGCAACCUCACAAUCAAAUCAUAACUGUGCUUCUCUUGAGUCUUGACCACAAAAACCAUGUGAAAAUCUAAAUUUAAGAUGUGAUCAAAUUCCCUACUCUCAGAAACAUACUAUGCCAGAUCAAAACAAACUUCAAAAACCCUGUUACCAAUUCCAUUUCUCAACUCACCUUUUUCAGUGUUACUCAUAAUGUUAUUAUUCCUCAUAUGGUAUUUUCAUUCUCAUUUUUUAAAACUGAAAAAUAAAAAGAGGUUCCAUAAAUGAUCAUGACCCACAAUUGGUACAUGUCACAAAUGAGAUAGAAACCCAAUUGAACAAAACAUGAAAAAUUGCAUCUUAACAUGGAAAUUAAAAGAAGUUUAUAUAAAUGAACCAAGACAUACAAUUUGUUUAAAGAUCAAAAAGCAGACCACAUAUCUCAGUUUCAGCUACAGGCAUUAUUUGAAACCAGCAUAUCAAACACAGGAAUCAACAAAAACAUAUGAAAGAAGCACAUGAUUUUUUUUAAAUGCAUAUUUCUUUGAUACAAACAGCGAUAUAAUAUAUGACCACCCAAAGAAAGAAAAAAUGAAUUGCAGUGUACCAAACCCAAAAGCUAAAGCAACAAUUACGAAGAUAGAUACAGAGAUAAAAGUCUAACAGUAUAGAACAGUGAAAGAGAACUUGGAAGUGAGUGAAUUACAUGCAGAAAUGCAGCCUUUCUUCAACUUGCACAGAGAGAGAGAGAGAGAGAGAGAGAGAGAGAGAGAGAGAGAGAGAGAGAGAGAGAGAGAGAGAGAGAGAAACCUAACGCCUGAUUCAUUUGCAUAUUUCUGGAAUGUAUAUAAGCCUAGUAAACUAGAAGCAGUUGGUCAAACUUUCCAUCAAAGAAUUUAAUUUGUUAGGAUUUAGUGAUGUAAAACAUCAAACUAAAAUUCAAAAGGCAAAACAAAAGAAACAGUUUUAACAUUUGAAUUCAGAACAGAUUAUUUCUUGUUACUUUAGGCACCAAUAAAACAGUAACUUCUAUUCAAUCCUUUUUAAUGCAUUCAGAAAGUCUCAAUACAAUAUGCAUCAUUAGUCAAGAAUUAGGAUGGGAAUUGAAGUGCCAACUAAAGUGUUUCUGCAUCGGAAGAUGCAGAGAAGUAAUCCCUUCCAAAGAAUUACCCUUUCCCAAAUCGCAACUUGAAUGAAAGAUAUCAACAAUGACCACCAACCUGAAACUCUGCCAUACUUAGUUCUGAAACCACAAUAGCGUAGCACUAUCAAUUGCUUCAUUACUGCAUAAAUAUCAUUAACAUGAAAAAGAACAUGUAUCCUAUAUAAAUUCAUAUUUGUUCCAGACAGCAUCCAAGCCUACAUGAUUAUCCAUAUAUAACAAAAAUUCACGUUGAUGCGUAUUUAUGAAACAACUCUUCACUAGAGAUACUCAAAGCUUAAAAACUUCAGGAAGGCGUAUAAACUCACUGGUUAUUGGAUUGCGCACAACAACAGGUCAUUGAUGAAUGGUUUGGAAUAACUUAUUUUUUCUUUUCCUAAGAAUAGUAUGUGCAUUCUGAGUCCUAAUAAAGUCACACCAACAAAUAUUCCAUGGUGCAAUUCUAUCUCUCUCCAACAAUUCCGAUUCUCAUCAUAAACUAAUGAAUAUGUAGCCUAAUACACUAUGAGAAGCAUCAACAUAUGUCUGUGUGCAAGUGUGUGUCUAGUAGAGAGAUUCCUGCAUCUGACUGAUAACAGGUGCAAACAAAUUAUGCAGAGACUAUAAAAAGAGAACUAGUAUACAAAUAAGAAUUAGUCCCCUGUAGCAGUGACUCUACAAAAAAAGAACUAGUAUACAAAUAAGAAACGGAUCAUGGAACAAUAAAUUAUGCCUGCAAACUACUUCUACAUAAACAUUGCACAAAAAAUGUUUAAAUCUUGUGGUUGCAGCAGCUCCAUUUACAACAUAAUCAAGGCGAUGAGCCUAAAUUGUCAAUGAUGUGAUGCAUGAAACCUUGCCCAGCAAUUGAGUGAAACUGAAACCUCCGUUCUAAUAAGGGAAGAAGCGCAACCUAAUUGUUAAGAGCAGGGGAUUUGAGAAAAAAAGUUGUACAUAGUUCUGGCAUUUAUCCAUAACUACAAUUUAAAAUCCAUUCCAUUACAGGAACUUCCACCACAACAAAUGAAUGAACUCAGAGUUAUAUCUUACGUGGACACAAUUUAUAAAAAUUUGUCUGAGUGGACACAAUUGUUUAGAUGUUUUUUGUUUCCUGUUUCAAUUUUCUCAUUGUUUGAACGAAUGCCAUGCCGUAGUCUUAUGACAGCAACGCAAGGAAUAAUAGAAAACUCCAAACAGUUAAAAUGUUGGAAGUCACUCUUUUUUCACAUCUGUUCAAACUGCUAUUCUCUGGAUCUGUGAAAGGAACAGAUAUAUUCAUUCAUGCCCUAGUCUAAAGAAACAAUGAUAAAGACCCAACAAAAAAUGAGAAUUCCAGUGUACCAAAUUAUCAAAACGGAGAACUAAAACAACAAUUGAAAGAAGAUACAGAGAUUAAAGCCUAACAGCACAAAACAGUGAAAGAGGACUUGGAAGUGAGAGAAUUACCUGCAGAAAUGUGGCCCUACUUCAACUUUCAGAGAGAGAGAGAGAGAGACCAAACUUGCCAAUAUAGUCAGAAAAUGUACAUCAAUGAAACAGCAAGACCAAACUGAAAAGGAAAUAAAGAUCAAAGUGGCAUGUUUGUAUUACUGGCUCUACAUUAGGUACAAAAAAUCAAUAGAAUAAUGUAUUACAAUUAAUGGUUCAUGAAAAAGGCUUUCAUAAAAUACAAUUGAGUUUCAUAUGUAAACAAUAAAGCUAAGCUAAGCUGCACCCAUUAUAGCAAAAGUUGAUGGUUUUGGGCUUGGAACCACAUGCCUUGACAUGAGCUUCAGAGGAAGAAUCUCCUGCUCAGAAAAACCAACAUUUUCUUGAGCCAUCUCCUCUGCAUCUUCAGACUUCCAACUUCCAAGGGGUAUGAAGCUAGGACAAUCCGGAACAGAGGAAGCCACUGCAGAAGACACUUGCUUAAUUGGUUUAACCUCUUCAACCCCAUUAUCCAGUUUAGUCACAAAUGGGUGGUUCAAGAGCAUAGCAGCAGUAAACCUCUCUGAAGUGUUCCACAUAAAGCAACAUUGCAAGAAAUCUUUAGCCUCUUUUGAUAACCAACCAGGAAUGGCAGGAAUUCUUGAAACAAGCAGGGCAGUUAACAGGUCCCGAACGUCAAAUACGGCGCCAGGUGUGAAAUCCCAUGGAUGCCUCCCAGUUAACAUUUGCAACACAACACAACCUAACGCCCAAAUAUCAGAAGGCUGCUGUUGAAUUCCAUAAACCACAGCUUCUGGAGACAAAUACAUUGGUGUGCCUCCAAAUGAAGGCUUCUCCCACUUCUGAUUUGCCUUCUUUGUGAGCCCCAAGUCUCCGAUUUUUGGCACAAAACAAGCACCACCAGAGGAACCAGCGGCAUCAGACACAAGCAGAAUAUUCUCAGGCUUGAGAUCACAAUGCACAAAACCCCUUUCGUGGAUGUACUUAAUCCCUUUCAAAAUCGACUCUAUAUACUUUCUGACUUGGAAUUCACGCAACCCAAAACCCCUUGAUUUCUCAAUCAAAUCCGCCAUUGUUCCUCCAUCCGCGUACUCCAAGAACACAUUGAAUAAAUGACGGCCAUCAGCGCCAAUCGUCUCAUCCUCUCCAUAGCAGUUGAUAACAAAAGGGCAGUGACGAAAAAUGUAAAGAAGAAUAUCUUCCCCCAUCAGAUCAUGCGCCUGAGAGGCCAAUGUCGAUUUCACGGCCACAAUCCUCGGCACACCCUUCAAACACAACCUGGGUUUUUUCACGAAACCCAAAUAAACCGACCCGAAUCCGCCUUGGCCGAGCAUCGGCCCUCGAACCCACUCGCAGCCACUUAGUGUAACUGUCAAGUAAUGAUCUGCAUCAUCUGCAGAAUCGUCUACAACUAUUAUCUCAUCAUGGGUUGCUCUUUUUCUCUUGAGACCCGCCAUUGCUUUUGUACACUUCGUUCAAAAGUGAAGAACAAAGCUUUUUCCGAAGAUACAAAGAUUCUGGGUUGUAGAAGAAGAGCAGAACUUGUGGGCUAACAAAAACAAAAGAGACGACGGAGAACAAGAGCAGAACUUGCGGGUUGUAGAAGAAGCAGUGGAAGCAGAUCGCAGAGCGAUUGAUGAACGAACAAGUCGAUGAUGAUGAUGAUGAUGAUGAUGAUGAUAUGAAGAAGAGAGUUGGAAUUGAAAGAAACCCUUUAGGCUUUACGAAAGAUCUGCGUAUUCUUGACGCUGUUGGGGUUUUUCGAAAUCCAACUUUCUCUUUCCUAGUUGCGUUGGGAAAUUGGGUAUAUAUAACUUUCCAACGGUCAUUUUUUUCUUUUCGCCGCGGCCAUUUAGUGCGCUCUAAUUAAUAAUCGAAUAAAAUAUAUUAUUUUUCUCUUUUUUGAAGUCAAAUUUGAAAUAGCCUCGUAAAUCUGCACCUGUGAACUUAUUUGUAAUUUAAAUUUUUUAGAUUUUGUCGCGGACAAAAUCUUGGAGACGAGGUUAAAAAAAAAUAAUUGUCAUUUUAUUCCAUGUCUUUUUUUUAUAUUAUAUUUCUUGUAUUUUUAAUUUUAUUUUUUUAAUAGAUUAUUCAAGACAAAAUAAAAAAGAGGAAAACCAUUACACAUGACUCCUCAAGUGAAUAAUGCCCCCAGUUGGUUCCAAUGAUGCAUUCUAUGUUAGAAAUAAAGGCACUAUUACUUUCUCUGAAGGAAAAUACUCCCCCACAUCAUGAUCCAGUGGAACCGCCUCCGCCAAUGAUUGCAUCGUCCUUGUACUCGAUUGUAUCAUACUAUGAGGACCGAGAGUAUAUCAAUUGUAUGAUGAGUGAGAUGUGAAUUUUAUAAUAAAUAUGGACACGUAGCAAUUGAAAAUCUUAUCCGAAAAUUUAAUCUUAAAUUUUUUUGAAAAUCUUAUCUGGAAAUUUUAUCUGAAAUUUGAGAUGAAAAUUUUAUAAUAAAUAAUCACGUGGCAACCGAAAAUUUUAUCCAAAAAUCUUAUCAAAAUUAAUGGUUUAAAUAUAAAAAAUAGAAAAUAAAUUAAAGUAAAUAGUAAUUGCCCUUGCCCUUUGGGGUUGAAACAAAAAAAGCAAUGGCUACCAUUAUUCACGUGAACAGUGACAAACCUUGCCUUUCCUUUGCCCUUUGGGGUGAAGAUGCUCUUAGACUUCGACAACCCAGCUCUCUCUCUCUCUCUCUCUCUCUCUCUCUCUCUCUCUCUCUCUCUCUCUCUCUCUCUCUCUCUCUCUCUCUCUCUCUCUCUCUCUCUCUCUCUCUCUCUCUCUCUCUCUCUCUCUCUCUCUCUCUCUCUCUCUCUCACACACACACACACACAGAUAGCUUUUAGACCCACCCCUUCCCUCUUGUUAGUAAGAGGUGGGCAUGAUCUGGUUCUGCCUAGUUCUCACCUAAAACCGAAAUAUAAAUCAGUAUUAUUCAUCUAGUGUGGUAUGGUCUAUUUAUUGACUAAAAUGACUAGGAGAACCGGACUUGGUUCUAUGGAAUUGCAAUUAAUAUUGUAUCCAAUUAUAUUGAGAUUUUUCCACAUUAAUUUAUAAUUUUUUUAUAAAAUUAUUUGGAUAUGAUUUAUUUAAUUAUUUAUUUAGAUGAGGUAGUAAAUUUUCCUUAAAUUGUAAAAGAUUAUAGGCUCGAGCGAACAAAUAUGGCCUCAUAAAAACCUUACCCAAGAAAUUAUUUGGAUACGCUAUUGGAAUUGACAUGUCUUCCAAUUAAGUUACACACUCGAGCGAACAAAUGUGUUCUAAUGGAUACCGUAUCCACUAUGCAAUUAAUACCAUAUCCAUUAUUGAGUUUUUUCCACAUCAAUUUAUAAAGUUUAUAGAAGUAUUUGGAUACGCUUUCAUCCUAUUGAAAAGUUGUACAUAUUAAAAAAAGUAAAUUGUUGUAGAUCUCCUCAAAUUAGGACCCUAAUCGAACUUAACUCCAUGAACUAAAAAGUUAGCCAAUUUAACGCCUUUCGUUAAAUUUUAUCACAUUUCAUCUAAAAUUGCAUCAUUAGUGGCAUGCGAGACACAUGUGCAAUAUAAUUGGAGAGCAAUAUAGUUCUUCUAACCCAUUUUCCUCCCACUAUUCAUCUUCCCUAAUAGUUGAGGCCAAAUCAAAAACAGCGGAGCCCUAAAUUCACAAAUUCCAUCAUUACAGACAAUUGUUAUGACAUACCCUCCCAUUGCAUACAGUUGAGAAUGAGGAGAAGAAGAUGAAGUGGUUAGAAGAUGCGAAGGAACAUGCCUCGAGCAAAUGGUUCAGCUGAGUCCAACUUCAAAUAGCUGGAGCAAGAGGUUCUCCGUGUGUUCUAGAGAUAAGGUGCCUUCAGUCCAAUCCAUAGUCUAAAAUAUUGAUAAUAUCAACAAAAUAUCGAGGAUAUUAUCGUUUUUUUUUAGUCACGGAUUCGGUACGUAUCCAUACACAUAUCAUAUAAAUAUCGACAAUAUCGAUGAUAAUAUAGGAGAAUAUCGAUAUCGAUAAUUUCGCUCACACUUCAGCAAUAUUUUGUCAAAAUAUCGCUAUAAUAUCAAAAAAUAUCAAUGCAAUGGAAAAAAUGAAAAAAAAAAAAAAAACACACACACACACACACAAAGCACACAUGCAAAGGGGAUUCAAACCCCUGCCAUUUCACUCCUCCAAUGCCUUAACCACCACGUUGCUUAAGUUUUUGUGAUAAUAUGCUAAAAUAUGUAUACUUUACUUGUUUUGUUUUGAACUAUUUUUGCAAAAAUUAGAUUUUCACAUGAGAAUGUGAGUCUUUGACCUUUCCUUUUUGGGAUCAAAUCGAGCGGCUUAUGGAAAGAAUCUGAGACUCAAUCUUCAAAUGAUUUUGCUUAUGGACAACGUCAACUAAUCUCGGAUCCAUAUGGGUGACAUGUUAACAAUUACAUGCAAAACUAUUUGGGGAUUUAUCAUUUGAUGACUACUCUUCAUACUACACUUACUCUACACAUAGAGAUGAUGAAGAUAGUGAAAAAUUUGAACCUCAUAUGAACUCUAUGUGGUACUAAAUCACUCAUGUAUCUUUCGAUGCAAUGUAUAAAGUGUAAAAUAUUAUAGUAAAUCAUUAUAUAUAAAUGAUUAUGGUGUGUUUAAUCUUCUUUCAUUAAUUACUACAUAUUUUCUAUACUAACAGUGUUCUUCAGCUUGGUGUAUAAUCAACUUAAAUCAGUUAAACCCAUCAUGUAAUGCAUUUUCUUCCAAUUUUUUGUGAUAAACUAAUAGAUAAUUGACUAAAUAAACAUCCUCCAAAGUUUCAAUAAAAAUUUCCAAGUUUUUCUUACAAUUUCCGUGGUUUUUAUUCAAUUUUUAUCUAUAUUGGUAAUAUCUUGAUAUUUCCAUCGAAAUUUCUGUGUUUUUGAGCUACCGAUAUUUCUGAUACCAUCGAUAUUUUAGACUUUGGUCUGAUUUGACAUAAAUUAUCCCCAUCAUUUGUUACCAAGUUAACCGAGCCUAGUCCUGGUGCAAAAUUUGUAUUUACACGUCUAUCAAUGGUUGUUAAAAGCCCAAUGCUCCACAAUGACAUUUUUAGUUUCAAUUUUUUUUUUGGACAGAAACAUUUUAUAAAAUUUGUAAGGCCAUCUCCAACUGAUAAGGCUAAACCUAAAAUAUCCCAAAUUAUAGUCCAAAAUCUCUCCCAACCCAGGAAAAUGAAGGGACCAAAAUUUGGGAAAACCCAAACUUGGACCCAAAUAGCAGUCCAAGUAUUUCCUGGACCCAAAACUAUUCAUGGAGCCCACCUGCAUCUGAAGCAACCCCAAUGUACAAAGAAUCUGACGUGGGCCCUAGCUCUUGCUGUGCUGCUGCUUUUUGGUAGCUUGUUACACCACAUGUCAAGCUGCUGUGAAGUUGCCUUUGGAAUCCAACGGCAACAAUUCAAUUUGUUUUUUUUAAAUUCUAAAUGUAACUUAAAUCAACGAUCUAGAUUAAAUCUAAACUAUUUUAUUGGUAAAAAAAAAAUGAUCCAACAGCUGAAAUUUAAAUCCAAGGGUCAAAAUAAUAUUUUAAAUUAAUCUAGAUCAGAUCCACCCUCAAAACUCACUCCAAACUCUAUAAAUACUCAUCCAUUUCUCAAAUAAUCUACCAAAAAUAUUUUAUCUAUUUGUUAAUUUAUUUUUCCUUUGUCAAUCUCAUCAAUCUCCUUUCAAUCUUGUUGAAGAUGUCCACAAAAUCUCAAAGAGGUGUGAAUUGGAGGCUCGAAGAAGAUGAGGCAUUGUGUAAUGGGUGGGUUUCUGUCAGUGAAGAUAAGGCUAUUGGCACCAAUCAAGCAAGUGACACAUUUUGGAAGUGUGUAUAUCAAAAGUUUCUGGAAAAUGAUCCGGGCAUUAGUGGACCCGAGCGACAAACAUAUCAAGUCAUUGCUUCUCGGUUCAAGACUAUCAACCAACAAUGUUUUCUUUGGAAGACAUGCUUAACUAAGACCAAUACGAACCUACAAAGUGGCUCAAAUCUAUAUGAUGUGGUAAGUAACCAUUCUUAUUAUAUCUUUAAAUUUAUAUUUGUAAUUUUAUUCAAUUCCAAACUUAAGUUUAUUUUUUCAUGCGUAGGAUGUGUAUGCAAAACCGAUCUUUUUUAAUGAUAAUAAGCCUCCAAAUAGGCCUUUCAAGUUGUACCAUGCUUGGGAAAUCUUAAAAGAUUGCCCAAACGGGAACUAUAUAAAUGAGCCUCCCACACAACGCUCUUCUGGAGUUAGUGCAAGUAUGGUGAAUUUGGAUGAUGACACAGACGAUAUCACCAUGCCUAGUCCAAGGCCUGAGUGACGAGAUAAACAAAAGGAUGCAAAAAAAAAAAAAAAGGAAGAUGGCUGACCCUUCUCAACAAGCAAGGGAUAAGUACUUGAAAUCAUUGGUUGAGCAAGGUAUUACUUUCGAGGAGGAUAGGAGAAGAAAGCUCAACAUAUUGGACAAGUUUGUCCAAGAUCAAGUUGAUGCUUAUGCAUAUCAGAAGCAAUAAAAUAAGGAGCCCAAAAACAAAAAAUAAUGUCCAUGGACGUCAAAUUUACUCCAAGAAAAAGAAGUAUUGGGGGGAUAAACAAGAUGAAAUUAUGCAAAACAUGCACCUGGUCAACAGUCUACCGUUAAUCUUGAAGACAACUCGGGGGACUAUUAUCCAACCCGAUGGUGGUUAUUAGUUUAUUCCUAUUGGGUUUCAUGUAUGGUGAAUUUGAAGUGUUGUGUGCUUUCUUUUAGAAUUAUGUUGUGUGUUUUCUUUUGGAAUAAAAUUAUAUUUGUGGAAUUUCAAAUUUUUAAGGUCAAAUUGUUCAAAAAAUUUAAUUAUGAAGUCAUUUAAAAGAUUGAAUGAAGAAAAGUUAUCCAGAAAAAAAAAAUUAAACUUAAACCAUUCUUAAACAAUUUAAUAAAGUUGCAGACUUAAAAUUUGAGUCCGGAGGGUUGGGAGAAAAAACGAUUUGAGUAUGGGCAAAACCCAAAUAGUUAUUUUUUUUAGGGGAAAAAUUUAGGUUUAGCCCCAAAUGAGUUGGAGAAGGCCUAAGAGCACAUCCACAAUUUGUAAUGGCAAAACACAAGGGGAGGCAAAGGUAGUUACUUUGCAAGUGAAUAGUGCAUGCCCUAGCAAUUUUUUUGAUGCAUUCUCACCCAUUGCGAUGGCAACCCAAGGGCAACCACUAUUUACAUGAGUUAUGAAGAGGAAAAUUUGUAUGAAUUUUGGUGUGGGAAGUAAAGACCAUGGCUAGGUAUUUAUAGAAAAAAAAUUAUGAAUUUUUUGGUAUUUUUUUCUUUUUUUAUUUAUUUAAAUUUUUAUGGUAUUUAAAUUGGCCGCAGACGUCAACUUGCCCAUUCAACAGCCAGGCAAGUCUUGCCUUUGGGCUUAUCUAGUUUCAUGGGGGCCACUUCUUGCCAUGAACAUUUUUCCUUAAUGAGGGUUGUUUUUGGAGCCUAGGCCCAAAGUGCUCUAAAACAAAUGCAACAUAUCACUAAGGAAACAAUAGACAAUAUUUUUUCCUCGCCAUAAGGUAUUUUCCUUACUGUUUUACCAUAAGGCGUCCUCAAGCAGUCUUAAUUUCCAAAGAUACAAGAGAUAAUAACGAGGUGGUAUCUACUAGUGUAAUUUGUGUCAUCUUCUGCCAAGUCAAAUCUAGUGCUUGGGGAUUCUUUAGGACCUUUAACAAAGCCACACUUUAUUUUGGGUGCUGAUUUUCUCACUUUUGUUUUGUCCACUUACACUCCCUUUUAUUUUUAUUUUUUUUAAACUUUUUUCUACAACGUACAAGGGAGUCUAAGAGGACAAAAGAUGAGUGAGAAAAUCAACUCCCUUUAUUUUUUGAUAAUUUGCCCAAAAGGAAUUGACUUGGGGUUUUGAGGGCAUCAGAAUGAGUAGAAGUGGAGAUAGCAACGACCUUGAGGUCUUCCUCCACCUCCACAUGUGUGGUGGUGGCGGCGGUGGUAGAAUUAGGGUUCGGAGGGGUGCUUAUAUCGAAGGAAAUGACCUUGUCGGGAUCGUAGGUAACCUUGUUCAAGGCAAGGCUUGUAGGCGAUCUCGAUGGUUAUCCAACCCAUCACUACCCCAACUAUCGCUAUCAGUGCGCUGGUUAUUGCUCCCAUUUUCUUCUUCUCCUUCGUCUUCUUUUUACUCUCUUCUGGUUCUUCUUCUUUCUUGAUUUUCACUCUCAACUGACGACUUUGUGCUAUUUUGGAUUUGGGAUUUGGGAUUUAGUGACAAGUAGCUCUCCAUUGAGAUUUUUGCUUGCUGUGUUACUUUGCACUAGCGACUCUACCCUCUAAUUUCGUUCGACGUGUGCCUCGAGUGACAUAAUGGACGGAAUUUUUGAUGAAAUGUGAUAAAAUCUAACAACAUGAAUAAAAUUGGCUAUAGUUAUUAAUUCGCGGACUAAAUUGGCUGAUUUUUUUAGUUGAAGGGCUUAAUUUGUACAAGUGUCAUAGUUCACAAGGUAAAACGGCUGAAAAUCUUAUUUUGUUAAAAAAGGAUUAGUUAUUGAUUUGCCCUUGAAACUCAACUGUAGUCCCACUUUGGCCCCCAAAUUUCACUUUGGUAUCUCAUUUUGCCCCAAUUCCAUCUAUUAUGUUUUAGACCCAUCAGUUUUGUUAUGUGGCAUAAAAGGACCCAGCUAAUGUCAAAAGACUCCCUAUAGGUUUGGGGUAAUUCUUAAUAUGGGUCUCGAGAUAUCAAUUUCAUCAAUUUACACCCUAAUGUUUUCAAACUUGUCCAAUUUUAUCCUUCUGUUAAAUUGACCAUUUGGUCAAUCUUUAAUUGUUGAUGUAGCAACAAUGGGACCUAUCCCAACUAACAGUUUAAGUAGUUUUUUUUACAAAUAAAUAAUUUAAAAUUUUAGAAAUGUUAGGUUUUUGUGUGGAGCCCACUAACUAUUCAUUUGGAGACUUCGGGUAAAGUUUGUCCGCAACUUUCCCUUAGUACACAUUCAGGUGGGUUGGCUGCCUCUACCCAAUCUGCCUAUAAAUAAGGGAUUAUCCUGCCCUUGCACAUAUACGAACUAUCAGAGAAACAAGAGAGCCCAGGCAGAGAGACGAGAAAAGAAGAGGAGAAAAAAGAGAAGAAAAAGAGAGCAGAGAGAAAUUCUCCAAGAGAGAAACAUCAAUGAGCCACAUAUAUUGUAAACACUAAAAUUGUAGCCCUCUUAAGGAGGCCUUUGAAAAAGUUACUGCUGCUGCUCUCCGAGGACGUAGGCAUAGCCGAACCUCGUUAAAUGUUGUGUCUCAUCUACUUUACGUGCAGCUCAAUAUUCUUCUCACAUAAUCCCGUUCAUCUUAUAACAAGUUAUCAACACGAGAAGCUCUCAGGUAUAAUUUUUUGCACUGCACUAUUAUUUAUACUACUAACCAUUGUGUUGAUGGAAAGAAGAAAAGCUGUUGAAAUUAGUCCAACCUGAUUUCCUACUUCCACUAACAUAUAAUAGUAUGAUGUAUAUAUUAUCUACAAUCCUGAUCUCUUGGACUACAGGGGUCCAAGAGAUUUGUAGUCACUCACCGUUGAAUGUAAAUUCAACGGUUCACUCACUCUUGCACUCCUUUUAAAAAACUUUUUUGAACCGCUAG
RNAcentral lists this long non-coding RNA (43599 nucleotides) under Prunus persica (peach). Its description in RNAcentral is "long non-coding RNA (PPER_LNC003151)". Lineage: Eukaryota; Viridiplantae; Streptophyta; Magnoliopsida; Rosales; Rosaceae. The record is from RNAcentral.